This 729-nucleotide ribosomal RNA is filed under the name Triticum aestivum (bread wheat). Its description in RNAcentral is "partial small subunit ribosomal RNA". The record is from RNAcentral. Lineage: Eukaryota; Viridiplantae; Streptophyta; Magnoliopsida; Poales; Poaceae.
AUGUGGAAUUCCGAACAUGGGGAGUAUUCCAGAGUGUUUGACUACCAGCAGGAACUUAUGAGAAGCAAUCCAGGUAGUACAGUUGCUAUAACACUUGAUCCAGAGAUGAGAGAUGACCAACAUGUUUUCCGGAGAUUUUAUAUGUGAUUUGCUGCAUGUAAGAAAGGUUUCCUAGCUGGGUGUCGAAGGGUAAAAGGCCUAGAUGGAUGUUUCAUCAAGGGUGCUACCUGUGGGCAGUUGUUAUGUGCUUUGGGCAGAGAUGCAAAUAACCAGAUUUAUCCGAUAGCAUGGGCUUUAGUUGAGAAGGAAACAUAUGACUCUUGGUUUUGGUUUCUUGCACUGUUGAACAAGGAUCUGAAAAUACCAAACCAAGGAGAAGGUUGGGCGGUAAUAUUCGACCAGCAAAAAGGUCUAAUUGGUGCUAUUGAGGACAUAAUUCCCAAAGUUGAACACAGGAUGUGCGCAAGACAUAUAUAUGCAAAUUGGAAAAAGAAAAAACCUGGCCAUGACCUACAAAAGAGGUUUUGGAGGUGUGCAAAAGCUCCCAACCAAAUCUUGUUCAACUACAAUAGAGCUAGGUUGGCUCAGAUAACACCGGAAGGAGCGAGAGAUAUGAUGAACACAAGUCCAGAGCAUUGGAGUAGAGCACACUUGAAGAUUGGGUCCAAUUAUGAUUCAGUCGACAACAACAUGUGUCAAUGUGGGUUGUCCUCAUCCACCAUGGCUUGA